AAGUCCAUGAUAAUUCUCCCCCACACAAGCUGUCGAUGCCCUCGUCGACAUCCAAGCCACUACUUGAACAUUAGUCACCAUGACCAACUUUCAUUGCAGUCACUGUAAAUAUGAUUCCUCAAGUCAAAGACCCAUGGUCUUUGAUGUCCUUGAUCUUUUCUCCACCACUAAGAAUCCAUCAUCCACAUCACACUGACUCUUCCACA
Molecule: long non-coding RNA, 206 nt
Filed under: Elaeis guineensis (African oil palm)
Lineage: Eukaryota; Viridiplantae; Streptophyta; Magnoliopsida; Arecales; Arecaceae
Description: long non-coding RNA (EGUI_LNC054983)
Source: RNAcentral